GAUGAACGCUGGCGGCGUGCUUAACACAUGCAAGUCGAACGGAAAGGCGCGGCUCUUGCUGGGCGCUCGUGUGGCGCGCGGGUGUGAAACACGUGAGUAUCCCCCCCCUGACUGUGUGGUAACUCGAGGGAACUGGGGCUAAUACCGGAGAGGAGCUCCUGAAGCAGGGGGGGGGUUGGAAAGAGUCGGCUGUUGGGGAUGGACUCGCGGUUUACCAGCUGGUUGGUGGGGUAGUCACUUACCAGGCCUUCGAGGGGUAGCCGGCCUGGGCGACGGAUCGGCCACACUGGAGCGGAGACACGCACCAUACUCCUACGGGAGGCAGCAGUCGGGAAUGUUCGGCAACGGGGGGAAAUCUUACGCAGCCAGGCCGCGUGUGAUACGACGGCGUCCGGUUCGUAAAGACCGCUUUCUGGGGAAGAACCGCUUUGGCCUUAAACGCGGCGGGAGUGACGGUACUGGAUAAAAAAGCACCGGCUAACUACGUG
This 488-nucleotide ribosomal RNA is filed under the name uncultured bacterium. RNAcentral describes it as "partial 16S ribosomal RNA". It matches the Rfam family "Bacterial small subunit ribosomal RNA", at positions 28 to 507 of the family's 1533-position model. The record is from RNAcentral.